AACGAACGCUGGCGGCAUGCCUAACACAUGCAAGUCGAACGAGACCUUCGGGUCUAGUGGCGCACGGGUGCGUAACGCGUGGGGACCUGCCCUUAGGUUCGGAAUAACUCCCCGAAAGGGGUGCUAAUACCGGAUAAUGUCUUCGGACCAAAGAUUUAUCGCCUUUGGAUGGGCCCGCGUUGGAUUAGCUAGUUGGUAGGGUAAAAGCCUACCAAGGCGACGAUCCAUAGCUGGUCUGAGAGGAUGAUCAGCCACACUGGGACUGAGACACGGCCCAGACUCCUACGGGAAGCAGCAGUGGGGAAUAUUGGACAAUGGGCGAAAGCAUGAUCCAGCAAUGCCGCGUGAGUGAUGAAGGCCUUAGGGUUGUAAAGCUCUUUUACCCGGGAUGAUAAUGACAGUACCGGGAGAAUAAGCUCCGGCUAACUCCGUG
This 433-nucleotide ribosomal RNA is filed under the name uncultured bacterium. Its description in RNAcentral is "partial 16S ribosomal RNA". It matches the Rfam family "Bacterial small subunit ribosomal RNA", at positions 29 to 507 of the family's 1533-position model. The record is from RNAcentral.